Non-coding RNA from Pelobates cultripes (western spadefoot toad), 332 nucleotides. The record is from the annotation of a GenBank genome assembly. Lineage: Eukaryota; Metazoa; Chordata; Amphibia; Anura; Pelobatidae.
CCCACGAUAACGCAGCAGAGCAUUCGUUUUUCUUUGCCAGUCUGGACUAGAUAGCGAUCACUUACCAAUAUCACUCUGUCAUGUAUGUCGCGUCUGUUGCCAUGAUAAAUGUAGAUUUACAUACCACAGUGUGUCACUAGACUAACAUGUAUGGACGUAUCUAUAACUACAAUUCCAGAUACCCUAUGGCCCAUGUUACAAACGUGUUUAAUUUUUAGUUCUGGUUAGUUUGUUCAGAAAUAUUCUUUGCAUGUCGCAUGUAUAGAGAGGCAGCGCACGAUACCUAGCCUGGCCACUCUGCACGCAACACCCACUCACAGUUAGACGACUUA